GGAUGUGAGGGCGAUCUGGCAGCGACAUCUGUCACCCCAUUGAUCGCCAGGAUUGAUCGCCAGGGUUGAUUCGGUUGAUAUGGCUAGGCGGGUGUCCCCUUCUUCCCUCACUGUGCAUCCCUCCCAAAGCUGCGAGCUCCGUCGAAGAGGAUGGUCUUCCCCGAAUAGAGACGGACCGAUCUUUAGUCGAGGAUAAAUGAACGAGUAACUGCGCUCCCCUGCUAGAACCUCCAAACAAGCUCUCAAUAACUACAACAAUAAAACAACAAGGGCAACAAAAAGGAAUAAAUAAAUAUUUUUUAAAAAAUACAAUGAGUAUUAAAAA
This is an unclassified non-coding RNA of Erinaceus europaeus (western European hedgehog), 325 nucleotides long. Its record names the gene 7SK. It matches the Rfam family "7SK RNA". Rfam says of the family: 7SK was discovered as an abundant small nuclear RNA in the mid-70s but a possible function has only recently been suggested. Two independent studies have found that 7SK RNA binds the CDK9/cyclin T complex (known as elongation factor P-TEFb). NCBI's taxonomy places the organism in Eukaryota, Metazoa, Chordata, Mammalia, Eulipotyphla, Erinaceidae. The record is from Ensembl.